GACGAACGCUGGCGGCGUGCCUAAUACAUGCAAGUCGAGCGGACUGAUUAAGAGCUUGCUCUUAUGACGUUAGCGGCGGACGGGUGAGUAACACGUGGGCAACCUGCCCUGUAGAUCGGGAUAACACCGAGAAAUCGGUGCUAAUACCGGGUAAUAUCUGAGAUCACAUGAUCUUAGGUUAAAAGAUGGCUCCGGCUAUCACUACAGGAUGGGCCCGCGGCGCAUUAGCUAGUUGGUAAGGUAAUGGCUUACCAAGGCGACGAUGCGUAGCCGACCUGGGAGGGUGGUCGGCCACACUGGGACUGGGACACGGCCCAGACUCCUACGGGAGGCAGCAGUAGGGAAUCUUCCGCAAUGGACGAAAGUCUGACGGAGCAACGCCGCGUGAGUGAUGAAGGGUUUCGGCUCGUAAAGCUCUGUUGUUAGGGAAGAAACAGUACCGAACGAACUAGGUCGGUACCUUGACGGUACCUAACCAGAAAGCCACGGCUAACUACGUG
RNAcentral lists this ribosomal RNA (500 nucleotides) under uncultured bacterium. RNAcentral's name for it is "partial 16S ribosomal RNA". It matches the Rfam family "Bacterial small subunit ribosomal RNA", at positions 28 to 507 of the family's 1533-position model. The record is from RNAcentral.